UACGAAGGGGGCUAGCGUUGCUCGGAAUUACUGGGCGUAAAGGGCGCGUAGGCGGACAGUUUAGUCAGAGGUGAAAGCCCAGGGCUCAACCUUGGAAUUGCCUUUGAUACUGGCUGUCUUGAGUUCGGGAGAGGUGAGUGGAAUGCCGAGUGUAGAGGUGAAAUUCGUAGAUAUUCGGCGGAACACCAGUGGCGAAGGCGACUCACUGGCCCGAUACUGACGCUGAGGCGCGAAAGCGUGGGGAG
RNAcentral lists this ribosomal RNA (245 nucleotides) under uncultured bacterium. RNAcentral's name for it is "partial 16S ribosomal RNA". It matches the Rfam family "Bacterial small subunit ribosomal RNA", at positions 524 to 768 of the family's 1533-position model. RNAcentral also lists the same sequence under 1 other name. The record is from RNAcentral.